Esox lucius (northern pike) is the source of this 1274-nucleotide long non-coding RNA. Lineage: Eukaryota; Metazoa; Chordata; Actinopteri; Esociformes; Esocidae. The record is from Ensembl.
UUUGGCUGCUAUAAUGCCCUUUAUUGAACUGAUACUGUAACGUACAAAAUACACCCACAUCAAGGGAAUCUGAAUGGCACAGCCGUAAGUUCACACGUAUGCUUUUCUGCCAGAUCAAACAAAGUAUCCAAGUAGAAGUUUAGAUGCAAAGGAUGGACAAGGUCCAGAGGUGAUAAGUGAAAAGAGGUGAAGGAGUGAGAACAAGGAACGUGAGUUUGGAAAAGGAGGAGAGGAGUGGAAGAAAAAGGUAUUUAUUUGCACUACAGAUCUGGGAUGUGUCUUCAGGUCAGCUUCUUUACGUCUGUGGAUAUCCACGUAAACAGGGGUCAUCAGGGAUCAUCUCUCUAUGACCACACUGAAAGCACACAUUUUGAUCACAUCUAUACAGAGGGAGGAUGGCAUUAAUUGUUUUGAAAGAUGCAUACACCUCAGCUCUAGUGGGCAGUGUCUGGCACUGAGGGGCAUAGAGUUUGGUGAAAACAAAGGCCUUAUAAUUUUGGUCGACCCCGCUGAAGACUUCAGGAAGGAACUGAAUAAUGUUACAGUUUUGAUCAAUAAUGCAUUUUUCAAUGCAGGGUGAGUUAUAGCUAUAGAAGACCACACAUUCUUGAUUCUUCAGUGUUUUCAUCAGCCCAUUCUUUCCCCCAACAAGGAGACGAUACUCUGAGUGUGUCAUUUUCCCCUGUUUUCCUGUAGGACGGGCUGCGAUCAACUCAACACUGGUGAAUAAUUGCUCUUUCUCCAAAGCUGGAGGUCUUAUGAAUGUCAUUUUUCCAUCUUGGCAUGUAGUUUUGGGUAGACCGGUUGCCAUGGCAUACUGUACCUGCUUCUGACCGCUAAACAGAAGAGGACAAAGACCAAGAACACAGGAUAAGGGUGGGGCUGAGGUACCAGUACAUAAUGAGACAGAUCUUCCUUCCAUACAGGAUCUCUGUAGCAGACAAUGUCAGAUGAGGACAACUAAAAAGCCUUCUGCCCCAGACCCAGAAGAUUGUGCAGAAGUAGUAAUAGUUGUAGUGGUAAUAAUAGUGUUUGUGAUAGUGGUACUAGUUGUAGUGGUGGUAGAAAUAGUAGUAGUUGUAGUAGAGUAGAGGUAGUAGUGGUAGUAGUAAUUGUAGCAGUAAUAGUGGUGGUAGUAAUAGUGGUGGUGGUAGUAUUAAUAGUAGUAGUAGUAGUAGGAAUAAUAGUGGUAUUAGUGGUGGUAGUAGUAGUAGUGGUAGUAAUAGUAGUAGUUGUAGUAGUAUUAAUAGAGGUAUUAGUGGUGGUGGUAGUAG